CCAUCAAAAUCUCAAGAUAUUUUUGUUUACAUAAAACUGAAUUUUUCCCCCACUUUGAUUGGAUGCCGUCAAGUGAGGAGACCACAAUUUUGACAUCUGAUUGGACCUAUAUGUGAAGGAAAUCCCCAACCUGUGUAUGCAACUACUUACUUGUGUAGUACAAUAGCCUAGAAUUUACAUUCAUUUAUUUUUUCAGUCCACAUGAUGCAAUUAUAUACCUCAAUACUUAACUAUAACAAAAUUUCUGCGUGGGACACAUGUUCUGGUACACCAAAACUGGUACCUGCCACCUUU
Molecule: long non-coding RNA, 294 nt
Filed under: Mytilus galloprovincialis (Mediterranean mussel)
Lineage: Eukaryota; Metazoa; Mollusca; Bivalvia; Mytilida; Mytilidae
Source: RNAcentral